UAAGUAUUUGCAACUUGGAAAACAUAAUGCACAAAUGAUUUCAGAGUGAUUUGUAUCCAUAAAUCUGUGUUGUAUCUGUGCCUCUAAUUUGUGACUUGUGAAACACAAUGUGUAAAUGAAUGUAGAUUGUUUUGAAUCCGCAGAAUGUGU
Long non-coding RNA from Etheostoma cragini (Arkansas darter), 150 nucleotides. RefSeq lists it as uncharacterized. Lineage: Eukaryota; Metazoa; Chordata; Actinopteri; Perciformes; Percidae. The record is from RefSeq and is a predicted model, not a curated record. The transcript is spliced from 3 exons.